AUGGCUGUCGUCAGCUCGUGUCGUGAGAUGUUGGGUUAAGUCCCGCAACGAGCGCAACCCUUGUCAUUAGUUGCUACAUUAAGUUGGGCACUCUAAUGAGACUGCCGGUGACAAACCGGAGGAAGGUGGGGAUGACGUCAAGUCCUCAUGGCCCUUAUAGGUGGGGCUACACACGUCAUACAAUGGCUGGUACAGAGGGUUGCCAACCCGCGAGGGGGAGCUAAUCCCAUAAAACCAGUCGUAGUCCGGAUCGCAGUCUGCAACUCGACUGCGUGAAGUCGGAAUCGCUAGUAAUCGCGGAUCAGCAUGCCGCGGUGAAUACGUUCCC
RNAcentral lists this ribosomal RNA (328 nucleotides) under uncultured bacterium. RNAcentral describes it as "bacterial SSU rRNA". It matches the Rfam family "Bacterial small subunit ribosomal RNA", at positions 1045 to 1375 of the family's 1533-position model. The record is from RNAcentral.